This 143-nucleotide ribosomal RNA is filed under the name uncultured eukaryote. Its description in RNAcentral is "partial small subunit ribosomal RNA". It matches the Rfam family "Eukaryotic small subunit ribosomal RNA", at positions 1662 to 1828 of the family's 1831-position model. The record is from RNAcentral.
GUACACACCGCCCGUCUCUCCUACCGAUACCGGGUGUUGUGCUGAACCUAUUAGACCACUUGUGGAAAGAUAUGUAAAGCUUAACACCUAGAGGAAGGAGAAGUCGUAACAAGGUUUCCGUAGGUGAACCUGCAGAAGGAUCA